GGCUCUAUGGCGGAAUUGGUAGACGCGUACGAUUCAAAAUCGUGUUCCAUUGGAGUGCCAGUUCGACUCUGGCUAGGGCUACCA
RNAcentral lists this transfer RNA (84 nucleotides) under Aliarcobacter cryaerophilus. Its description in RNAcentral is "Arcobacter cryaerophilus tRNA-Leu". It matches the Rfam family "tRNA". From Rfam's summary of the family: Transfer RNA (tRNA) molecules are approximately 80 nucleotides in length. Their secondary structure includes four short double-helical elements and three loops (D, anti-codon, and T loops). Further hydrogen bonds mediate the characteristic L-shaped molecular structure. tRNAs have two regions of fundamental functional importance: the anti-codon, which is responsible for specific mRNA codon recognition, and the 3' end, to which the tRNAs corresponding amino acid is attached (by aminoacyl-tRNA synthetases). tRNAs cope with the degeneracy of the genetic code in two manners: having more than one tRNA (with a specific anti-codon) for a particular amino acid; and 'wobble' base-pairing, i.e. permitting non-standard base-pairing at the 3rd anti-codon position. Lineage: Bacteria; Pseudomonadati; Campylobacterota; Epsilonproteobacteria; Campylobacterales; Arcobacteraceae. The record is from RNAcentral. RNAcentral also lists the same sequence under 12 other names.